GACGAACGCUGGCGGCGUGCUUAACACAUGCAAGUCGAACGGAAAGGCACUGCUAGUGUGGGGUGAUCGAGUGGCGAACGGGUGAGUAACACGAGAGUAACCUGACCUAGACUUUGGAAUAACUUAAGGAAACUGGGGCUAAUACAGGAUAGGAGCUGAUGCUGCAUGGAGGGGGUUGGAAAGUUUCGGCGGUUGGGGAUGGACUCGCGGCUUAUCAGCUUGUUGGUGGGGUAGUGGCAUACCAAGGCUGUGACGGGUAGCCGGCCUGAGAGGGUGGCCGGCCUCAUUGGUACUGAGAUACGGCCCAGUCUCCUACGGUAGGCAGCAGUGGCGAAUAUUGCACAAUGGUCGGGGGCCUGAUGCAGCAACGCCGCGUUCGUGAUGACGGCCUUCUGGUUGUAAACCGCUUUCGCCUGUUACGAAGCGUUUGUGACGGUAAUGAGUAAAUAAGCACCGGCUAACUACGUG
RNAcentral lists this ribosomal RNA (468 nucleotides) under uncultured bacterium. RNAcentral describes it as "partial 16S ribosomal RNA". It matches the Rfam family "Bacterial small subunit ribosomal RNA", at positions 28 to 507 of the family's 1533-position model. The record is from RNAcentral.